GUGAGGUAGCAAGAUGGAAGAGAAGAGGGGAAGGAAACUGGGCCGGGAGGGGAGGAGGAGGCACAGCGGGUUCUGGGAGCGGGCGUGUCCCAGACGGCGUGGCAGCAGAAAGCGGGUCCCAGGGGCAACCCAGGAUCUCCAGAGCCUUUUCCGGCCAAUGCCGACGAGGGGCUCCUUCAGUUCAGGAGUUACUAGAAAACCAGAAGCCCGAAACCCCUUCUUCUAGGAAUCAACGCCUAAGGCUGGCUGCCGGGUCCCCGGCGCCCCCCACGGCCGAGCGAGCCCGCGGGGGCUGCCCCUUAAGAGCCCAAGCCUCCGGGUGGUGGUCGGGGAGGGGGCCCAAGGCCCCUCCAUUCCGAGGGAAAUCAAUGCCGCGUUAAUCCCAGACAGAGGAUCCAGCUGGAACAAUGACGGGGGCCUGCCCAGCCAGCCCCAGCUGCUUCCUUUUCAGUGGCCCUGUGCCCCCUGCCAGAUCCUGCCUGGGGGAACUGGAGUCUGGGUCCACGAUGGAAAUCUGCCCUUGAAGAACUGCCCCCAGGGAUGGAUUCCAGUGCUAUGCUCCACGUAGCACCUUCCCUACCCCACUUCCUACUCCUCAAGCCCCUCUAGGUCCUGGUGACAUCCACUCCUCCAGCCAGCCCUCCCAGCCUGCUGGCACUUGCUCCCUACUGUUUCCCAUGGGGUUGGGCAGUGGGAUCUGGCUGCCUAGGUUCAGAUCCAGGCCUCACCUCUUUCUGCCUGUAUUCCCCCCCACCCUCGCCCCCGGCAGCUUGGUUAACCAUUCAGAGCCUCAGUGUCCCCAUCUGUCAAACGAGGGUAGCUUUGAAAACCUAUGGCAUGAGACUUUGAUGAUGCUGAAAGGUCAUAUGUGCAAACUGGGUAGAAGAACCCUAGGCCUGUUGCUAGAGCCACACCGGCUCCUCACGUGUGCCAAGCUGCUUCAGUGGUGUCCGAUCCUUUGUGAACCCGUGGACUGUAGCCCACCAGGCUUCUCUGUCCAUGGGGAUUCUGCAGGCAAGAAUACAGGAGUGGGUUGCCAUGUCCUCCUCCAGAGGAUCUUCCUGACCCAGGGAUCAAACUCAAGUCUCUGACAUCUCCUACAUUGGCAGGCAGGUCCUUUACCACUAGCGUCACUUGGGAAGACCUUAUACUGGCCCCUCACUAAACCCCAAACACACCCGGCAUGCUCCUACCUCUAGGCUUCCCACUGGAUGUUCCUUCCAGAUGUCCCCACGGCUCCCUCCUCCCUUUACUCACAUCUGUGCUAGUGUGCCGCCUCCUCAGAAGGACCCUCCCAAGCCAUCGCCAGGCUGUUUGCCAUCACUCGUUUGUCACCACCUGGCAUUAUAUUACUUACCCGAGCUUAGGCUCCGCAACCCAAGGGCCCUGGCUUCACAGUUAUUGGCUGUGUGACCUUGGGCAUGUUACUUAACUUCUCUGAACUUCAAUCCCCUCAUUUUUAAAAUGGGGAUAGUAAUAAACUGGUCUCAUACAACUGUUGGGUGAAUAAGUGACUUAGCAGAUGGAACACCUUCAGAACAGUGCGUGGCCCACACUAGGUGGUAUUCCCAAAACUAAUUUUGUUUCUCUUAUUUUUGAGUACCCUCUCUCCUUCCCUCCCAGCCCCACCCCCAACUAGAAUGUAUGCCCUCCUGAGGGCUAAUACUUCAGGGGGCAGUCUUUGUUUUAUUCACUGCUCUAUUCUCAGUACUCAAAUGACCUGGUAUCUAAUAGAUGCUCAAUAGUUGUUUGUUAAAUGAAUAAAAGAGGUUCUACUGGACCUGUCCGAGUCUCAGUUUUCUCAUCUGUAAAAUGGGAUGAUAAUAGCAUGUACUUCACAGAUGUUGAGGAUUCCAUGAAAUAAGCGCUAUUAACUAUUUUUUGCAGUAAUUCAGUGAGUCUACAAACAUAAUACCUAGUAUUAAUACUUAGUACACAAUGUAAUUGUGUAUUAUAUAUGUAAUUGUAUAUCAUAUAAUAUUGUAUAUAAUAUAUAAUUCUAGAUCUAGAAGCAGGGAGAAUUAUGAGAGAUACCUUUUACUGCCUCCAACACUCUUGGUUUCUUCCUUUGCUAACAGAGUAUUUGCUCUGAUUAGUUGGCAGAUUCCCUGUCCUCUGCUUCCCGCCCAGCCUCCCUUGCUUCUCAUUGGCCAUAAGUGUGGCUGAGUGACACAUUUCUAGCCAAUGAAACCCAAGCCAAAGUUGGCUGAGGGGUUCAGGGGAGGAUGAGCCUAUUAUAUGAGCCUCCAUUGCCUUAUCGGAAAAGGUAAUGGCAACCCACUCCAGUACUCUUGCCUGGAGAAUCCCAUGGAUGGAGGAGCGGGUAGGCUGCUGUCCAUGGGGUCGCUAAGAGUCGGAUAUGACUGAGUGACUUCAUUUUCACUUUUCACUUUGAUGCAUUGGAGAAGGAAAUGGCAACCCAGUCCAGUGUUCUUGCCUGGAGAAUCCCAAGGAUGGGGGAGCCUGGUGGGCUGCCGUCUAUUGGGUCGCUAAGAGUCGGACAGGACUGAAGCGACUUAGCAGCAGCAGCAGCCAUUGCCUUAUAUAUAAAAUGGGGAUUAACAACAGCAACGAGCUGGGGUGAAGAUCACACAACUGAUCUAGAGGGAUCUAGGUGACCAUGGGAAUCUAAGUGGUGUUAGCCGUUGGUUUCCAGCAGCACCAAACUCCAGAUUGUCUGGUGACAAAAAGGCAACUUUUUGUUUAAGCCACUGCUGUUCAGGUAUUUUUAUAUUUGCAGCCCAAUGUAUUCCCAUAUAAUGACACUGAAUUUUUCUGGAUCUCCAAAAAUACUCAGGAUAGGGUUUUGUUGUUUAGUCACUAAGUCAUAUCUAACUCUUUGCAACCCCAUGGACUGUAGCCUGCCAGGCUCCUCUGUCCAUGGGGUUUUCCAGGCAAGAAUACUGGAGUGGGUUGCCAUUUCCUCCUCCAGGGGAUCUUCCCAACCUAGGGAUUGAACUCAGUCUCCUGCAUUGGCAGGCAGAUUCUUUACCACUGAGCCACCAGGGAUAGGGUAGCUGUUUAUUAACAUUUUUAUGUUAACAAAAUAUAGAUUGAGACUCAGGCACUGCAACAUUAAAAAAAGAAAAAAAAUGGAGAAGUGUGUGCAUUUAACUGGGCCCCUGUGCAGCCCAGGAAGAGGUGAUAAGAAACAGUCUAUAAGGGAAGGAGAGAGUUACAAGGUAAAUUGUGUCCCCCCCUCCAAAAAAAAUACAUGUUAAAGUCCUAACUCCCAGUACCUCUGAAUGUAACCUGAUUUGGAAAGAAGGUUGUUGCAGAUGUGUGUAGUUAAAAUGAUGUCAUGCUGGAGUAGGGUGGGACCUUAAUCCAAUAUGACUGAAUUAUAUUAUACAUUUCUUCUAAGGAAAGAGACAGACACACAACGGGAGAAUGCUACAUGGUGAUGGAGACAGCCUGGAGUGAUGUGUCUGCAAGCCAAGGAAUGCCAAGGAUGGCUGACAACCACGAGAAGCUGGGAGAGGCAUGGAGAGAGCAUCCCCUAGAGACCUCCGGGAGAGCGGGGCCCUGCUGACACCUUGAUUUCAGAGUUCUGAUGUCCAGAACUGUGAGAUGAUAUAUUCCUUUUUUAAAUUUUUUUUUGCUAUUUAUUUAUUUAUGGCUGUACUGGGUCUUCGUGGCUGCACGUGCGUUUUCUCUAGUUGUGGCGAGUGGGAGCUACUCUGUUGCAGUACACAAGCUUCUCAUUGUGGUGGCUUCAGCUCCGUGAAAGUGUUAGUGGCUCAGUCAUGUCCGACUCUUUGUGACCCCAUGAACUGUAGCCCUUCAGCCUCCUAUGUCCAUGGAAUUCUCCAGGCAAGAAUACUGGAGUGGGUAGCAAUGCCCUUCUCCAGGGGGUCUUCCUGACCCAGGAAUCAAACCAGGGUCUCCUGCAUUUCGGGCAGAUUCUUUACUGUCUGAGCCACCAGUGAAGCCUUUCAGCUCAAUGACUUGGAGCAAAUCUUUUGCCCACUCCUGGCUUUUGUAUGCUUAGCACUCUCUGCAGUCCCAAGGCAUAAACGUGGACAACGGGUCCUCUGUCCCAUGGACAUGGCAUCACUUCACAUACUGCGAAGCCCUUCCAGCCUUCCAGAAUCUCCCCAGGCAGAAUUAAUGCAUUCCAAGUGCCUCAGUGCAGGGUUAGGUGGCUGCUGUCAUUACUGAGAAUUUAAGGCUAUUGAUGUCCUUGUUUCUCCAGCAAGUCAAGAACCUCCCUGAGAGCAAGAAAUGGCCUUUCAUUGAUGCAGCCCAGUGUGACAGAACUAUCUUCUGGUAAAACAAAGGGGUGUAACUCCCUUUAGGUGCACAGGCAGUCAGUAAUGUCCAUCUGGUCAAAAGCAAGAGAAUUUACAUGUGUGACACAAGCUGAAUCUCAGUGAAGACCCCAGUGCUGCUGUUAAAACGGCCUGGGUUCAAAUCCCAGUCCAACCUAGGACUGGCUGAAUCAGUUGUAAGUGAGUGACUUUGUUGCUCUGUACCUCAGUUUCUCUGACUGUAAAAUGGGGAAUAGUGGCAAUCCUACCUGGUUGGAUCAUUUCAAGGAUUAUGUUUUUUUUUAAGUUGAAGUAUAAUUGCUUUAGGGCUUCCCUGGUGGCUCAGUGGCAAAGAAUCCACCAGCAAUGCAAAAGAUGUGGGUUCAAUUCCUGGGUUGGGAAGAUCCCCCUGGAGGAGAGCAUGACAACCCACUCCAGUAUUCUUGCCUAGAAAAUUCCAAGGACAAGAGGAACCUGGUGGGCUAUAGUUCAUAGGGUUGCAAAAAGUCAACAUAACUCAGUGACUGAGCACAGCACACACACACAUAACUGUUUUACAAUUCUGUGUUAGUUUCAGGUAUGUAGCAAAGUGAGUCAGUUAUACAUACGCAUAUAUCCACUCUGUUUUAGAUUCUUUUCCCAUACAGGUUAUUACAGAGUAUCAAGUAGUUCCCUGUGUAUACAGUAGGUCCUUAUUAUUUAUCUGUUUGAUAUACAGUACUGUGUAUAUGAAGGAUUAAACCUUUAAUCCAUUUGAGUUCAUUUCACCAGUGAUAUAAGAAAGGGAUCUGGUUUCAUUCUUUCACAUGUGAAUAUCCAGUUUUCCCAGAACCAGACUUCCCUGGUGGCUCAGACGGUAAAACAUCUGCCUGCAAUGCAGGAGACCCGGGUUUGAUUCCUGGGUUGGGAAGAUCCCCUGCAGAAGGAAAUGGCAAUCCACUCCAGCACUCUUGCCUGGAAAAUCUCAUGGACGGAGGAGCCUGAUAGGCUACAGUCCAUGGGGUCGAAAAGAGUCGGACACGACUGAGCGACUUCACUUUCACUUUCACCUUUUCUCUAUUGAAUCUUCUUGGGUCCUUUGUCAAAUAUUAGUUGACCAAAUAUGUAUGGGUUUACUUCCAGGCCUCUUGAUUCCAUCCUACUGGUCUAUGUGUCUUUUUUUUAGUGCCAAUACUAUACUGUUUUGAUUACUAUUGCUUUGUAAUACAGUGUGAAAACAAGAUGUUUGAUGCCUCCGGCUUUGUUCUUGCUCCCUUCAAGGAUUAAAUGAGAUCAUACCAUACUCAGAAGUUAGAUGCACAGUAAGUACGUAAUGAGUGUUGGUUCCACACAUGAGUGGGCAGCACUGGCAGAGUGUGUGCAUGGAGAAAGAUGUGAGGCCAGCAAGCUGCCCCCCAGGGGCCAUACGGUCAGCACCAGUGGACUAAGAACUCUUCCCUUAUAUCAUUUUCUUCCUUAUGCAGGUACAGGAAGAGAAAGGGGCUGACUGGGGGUGAUUCGAGAUCCAAUCUAGCCUGACUUGACACUUUACUUCAUCAUUACUGAGCACCUACUGUAUGCCAGGCUCCUUCUGGCUGCAGAGGCAGCUCAGACCUGCCUGGGAGUAACCAGACCUUCCGGAGAAUCCAUUGCCCUGUGAGCAUCCUUCAACCAAAGAACACACCCCAGCUCCCUCAACCCUCAAUGAGAUGACUCUGAAGUGCAGGUGCCACAGGUCUCCGGAGACGGAGGAGAAUUAAGCCCUAGGUGUUCCAGUAUAACCUGCUCAUGAAUGUGCUC
Bos taurus (domestic cattle) is the source of this 6029-nucleotide long non-coding RNA. NCBI's taxonomy places the organism in Eukaryota, Metazoa, Chordata, Mammalia, Artiodactyla, Bovidae. The record is from Ensembl.